AAUCCAUAGGUUAAUGAGGCGAACCGGGGGAACUGAAACAUCUAAGUACCCCGAGGAAAAGAAAUCAACCGAGAUUCCCCCAGUAGCGGCGAGCGAACGGGGAGGAGCCCAGAGCCUGAAUCAGCAUGUGUGUUAGUGGAAGCGUCUGGAAAGGCGCGCGAUACAGGGUGACAGCCCCGUACACAAAAGCGCAUGUGCUGUGAGCUCGAUGAGUAGGGCGGGACACGUGGUAUCCUGUCUGAAUAUGGGGGGACCAUCCUCCAAGGCUAAAUACUCCUGACUGACCGAUAGUGAACCAGUACCGUGAGGGAAAGGCGAAAAGAACCCCGGCGAGGGGAGUGAAAAAGAACCUGAAACCGUGUACGUACAAGCAGUGGGAGCACCCUUUGGGUGUGACUGCGUACCUUUUGUAUAAUGGGUCAGCGACUUAUAUUCUGUAGC
This 441-nucleotide ribosomal RNA is filed under the name Salmonella enterica. Its description in RNAcentral is "partial 23S ribosomal RNA". It matches the Rfam family "Bacterial large subunit ribosomal RNA", at positions 161 to 641 of the family's 2925-position model. The record is from RNAcentral. RNAcentral also lists the same sequence under 1 other name. Lineage: Bacteria; Pseudomonadati; Pseudomonadota; Gammaproteobacteria; Enterobacterales; Enterobacteriaceae.